AGCACUGCAAACGCAGAUGCUGCCACCUCUGCCCAAAGGAACUCAACCGCAAGUUGCGCAACCACUAUCCGUGGUAAGAAGCAGUAGCGGAGAUGGAUAUGCCACAUUACAAGGAGGGCAAUUCAGUUUAAAUACCAAUCUGCCCGAGUCAACUCGCCCCACCCUCUGUGUCGCCUUGGUGGAGGGAGAUUUAAUCAAAUCGGUUUCGCUGGGACAGACAGGAUCAAUUAGUUUCAAACACACUAAUCCUCCCAUGGAUUAAUCGUCUUGGGCCUAUUCCGAUGAGCCAAAUGGAUCAGUCAGGAAACGCUACCUCCAGUCAGUUUGAUCAGACCGAGUCGACUCGGAUGGGUCAAAUUAAUCAGGCAACUCCUCCUUCUACGGAGCAUAGUGAGACAGACACAACCGAUGUGACCUGGAAGACCGAUUCGACUCGGCCUAGUAAACCCCCCGACUCAGAGUCAUUGACUUUCUGGACGGCUUGUCCGUACUGUUACGUUCUCUACGAGUAUCCAAAGGUUUACGAGGAUUGCACACUGAGGUGUCAGGCUGAGAACUGCAGGAGAGCCUUCCAUGCGGUUGUGAUUCCGUCGCCGCCGCCUGUGGACGGAAAGGAAACGUAUUUGUGUACUAUGGGGUUUUUCCCAUUAGGAUUUUCGGGGAAUGGUGAGAACAUGGGCGGUAAUUUCCCCCGUUGGUCACCUGUUUCAACCAUGUUUGCUUGCCCUAACAACAAGAAUGCAGGUAAACAAACUAGUGCCCAGAAAUCUGCCCCAAGAGUGUUUUACGAUGAAGAUGAUAUAUAUAUAGAAAUUUCUUCUGCUGAGGAUACUAAUAAUGAUGAUGAUGAUGAUAAGUGGCAGAAGGAGAGGAGGAAGAAGAAAGCCAAAGGGGAAGGAUCUGUGGUGAGAAACGCUAAGACGCAAAGGAGUGAGAGAGUGAACGGCAAUGGCAGAGGUGUAUCGAUGGUGCCGGAAGCCGAGCCGAGCAAAAGAGGGGUGACAAAUAGUGGAUAUGUUGAGGGUCUUGAAGAGUUUUUGAGUAGCUUACAUAUGCUCGCAGUUGGUGGGGGACGAUAAAAUCAGGGCUGCAUAGUGAAGCUGUUUGAGAGGAUAGGGUAGAAAGUUGAACACAUAAAACCAUGAGGCAUUUUUGGUUUGAAGAUUGCCUCCAUCUUCAUACUUGGCAGUCAAAAGGAAUAUAGUUCCAUAUCUAUGCCUGAAUAUGUGCGGGAUACAUAUGUUAAAGAUGCCAGUUUACGUCUGUAAUUCAUGGAUCCAGAACAAUUCUUGAUUACAUCUUUCACCAGCUUGAAAGCUCUUUCUGACCGUCAAUUAUGGUAAUAUGAAGCCUUCUUCAUUCUGGGCUGACUCAACACCGACCGUCGCUCGAAGAUUGAGUACUGUAUUAAGUGGCGUAGGGAUUUCAGUCUGAAAGAGUUUAUAUUACUGUUACUAGUUUUGUUUAUGUAGUUGUUCCAUAAAUAAGACCUAAUUGGCUCAACUGAAGUUCUCUUUGGCUUUAAAAAAAAAUCCAAAAAUUAAAUUUAUAUUUGAAAGAUUACAUUCGUAUCGGGAUUAUUAUAAAAUAAUCUGGGUUUAAUCAUCAAACUAUAUAGUGAAACAAAUCAAGAAUCAAAGCAAAUAAAGACGAGGCAAAACAAGGAACGAGCAAAGCCGUGAAAGAGGGGCAGCAGCGGCUGGAAGAAGAACAUUAGUUCCUCAGCAACGAUGUCCAUAGCCUGGAGAAGGUACCAACAGAAACCUGCAACUAAGUAGUCCAAAUAAAAGUACUCCAAAUCAGCUAUCACCUCCCUCAUGCCUGUUCACGGCAACAACACAAUCAACCCAACGUAAUAAAACCAUAUAAAUAUUUAGGGAAAAACACUGAUAAUUGGA
RNA transcript from Gossypium raimondii (Peruvian cotton), 1898 nucleotides. RefSeq lists it as uncharacterized. NCBI's taxonomy places the organism in Eukaryota, Viridiplantae, Streptophyta, Magnoliopsida, Malvales, Malvaceae. The record is from RefSeq and is a predicted model, not a curated record. The transcript has 3 exons.